RNAcentral lists this ribosomal RNA (475 nucleotides) under uncultured bacterium. RNAcentral's name for it is "bacterial SSU rRNA". It matches the Rfam family "Bacterial small subunit ribosomal RNA", at positions 328 to 793 of the family's 1533-position model. The record is from RNAcentral.
UGUCCAGACUCCUACGGGAGGCAGCAGUGGGGAAUAUUGCACAAUGGGCGCAAGCCUGAUGCAGCCAUGCCGCGUGUAUGAAGAAGGCCUUCGGGUUGUAAAGUACUUUCAGCGGGGAGGAAGGCGAUAAGGUUAAUAACCUUGUUGAUUGACGUUACCCGCAGAAGAAGCACCGGCUAACUCCGUGCCAGCAGCCGCGGUAAUACGGAGGGUGCAAGCGUUAAUCGGAAUUACUGGGCGUAAAGCGCACGCAGGCGGCCUGUCAAGUCGGAUGUGAAAUCCCCGGGCUUAACCUGGGAAAUACAUUCGAAACUGGCAGGCUGGAGUCUUGUAGAGGGGGGUAGAAUGCCAGGUGUAGCGGUGAAAUGCGUAGAGAUCUGGAGGAAUGCCGGUGGCGAAGGCGGCCCCCUGGACAAAGACUGACGCUCAGGUGCGAAAGCGUGGGGAGCAAACAGGAUUAGAGACCCUCGUAUAA